Arachis ipaensis is the source of this 524-nucleotide non-coding RNA. The record is from RefSeq and is a predicted model, not a curated record. Lineage: Eukaryota; Viridiplantae; Streptophyta; Magnoliopsida; Fabales; Fabaceae.
UGCGAAUAAGAGCCAACAACCACCACCCACCAUCCCACUUCAGAUCUCAAACUCAUCGCCGGACCCUUCUCUCCCAUCUCUCUCUGUCGCCCUCUCUGUCCGAGCUCUCUCUGUUGCCGUGGGUCGUCGCCGCUUCACUGCUCCUCGUCGUGGGUCGUCACCGCUUCUCUGCUCCUCGCCCUUGGUUGUCGUCGCUUCACCUCUCCUCGUCGUUCCUAUUUCUCCCCUCCUCGCUAGCAUCGUUUCUGCUUUUAUGCUCCAAACCAUGUCUCACCAUCGUUGCUUCUGUUCUUCGCGUGGAAUCUCGCAGUCAAAGCGACUACCUUCCGUCAUGUCUCAAGUCUCUAGUCUCUGCUUCAAGCCUCUCAGGUCUCAGGUCUCAAGUCUCUUCUUCUUUGCUUCAAGCCUUAAACCUUCUCAGGUCUCAAGUCUCAGUUUCUAACUCUCCCUGAUUCUAUCUCCCUAACUCUAUCCCUCUGAAAUUUAAAAUUUAUUCUGAACAUGCAUAUGAUAUAUUAUUGAUG